RNAcentral lists this ribosomal RNA (405 nucleotides) under uncultured bacterium. Its description in RNAcentral is "partial 16S ribosomal RNA". It matches the Rfam family "Bacterial small subunit ribosomal RNA", at positions 28 to 526 of the family's 1533-position model. The record is from RNAcentral.
GACGAACGCUGGCGGCAUGCUUCACACAUGCAAGUCGAGCGGAGCGGCGAACGGGUGAGUAACGCGUGAGUAACUGCCCCCCUCUCUGGGAUAACAGUUGGAAACGGCUGCUAAUACCGGAUAUUGGGGGAUGACUCGCGUCCUAUCAGCUUGUGGGUGGGGUAGUGGCCUACCAAGGCGACGAAGGGUAGCCGGCCUGAGAGGGCGCCCGGCCACAUUGGGCUGAGAUACGGCCCAAAAUCGUAAGGGAGGAAGAAGUGGGGAAUAGUGCACAAUGGGGGAAACCCUGAUGCAGCAACGCCGGGGGCGGGAUGACGGUCUUCGGGUGGUAAACCGCUUUCAGCCAUGACGCGGUAGUGGCAGAAGAAGCACCGGCUAACUACGUGCCAGCAGCCGCGGUAAUAC